Molecule: ribosomal RNA, 551 nt
Filed under: uncultured bacterium
Lineage: Bacteria
Description: bacterial SSU rRNA
Rfam family: Bacterial small subunit ribosomal RNA
Source: RNAcentral
UAGGGAAUCUUCGGCAAUGGACGGAAGUCUGACCGAGCAACGCCGCGUGAGUGAAGAAGGUUUUUCGGAUCGUAAAGCUCUGUUGUAAGAGAAGAACGAGUGUGAGAGUGGAAAGUUCACACUGUGACGGUAUCUUACCAGAAAGGGACGGCUAACUACGUGCCAGCAGCCGCGGUAAUACGUAGGUCCCGAGCGUUGUCCGGAUUUAUUGGGCGUAAAGCGAGCGCAGGCGGUUAGAUAAGUCUGAAGUUAAAGGCUGUGGCUUAACCAUAGUACGCUUUGGAAACUGUUUAACUUGAGUGCAAGAGGGGAGAGUGGAAUUCCAUGUGUAGCGGUGAAAUGCGUAGAUAUAUGGAGGAACACCGGUGGCGAAAGCGGCUCUCUGGCUUGUAACUGACGCUGAGGCUCGAAAGCGUGGGGAGCAAACAGGAUUAGAUACCCUGGUAGUCCACGCCGUAAACGAUGAGUGCUAGGUGUUAGACCCUUUCCGGGGUUUAGUGCCGCAGCUAACGCAUUAAGCACUCCGCCUGGGGAGUACGACCGCAAGGUUG